UCUUUUGUUUCAUGCAGCCGGUAAUGGAAUCAUGGCCCAAGUUAUUGAAACAGAGUGACAUGUUCGCACACUUGCCUGCAAAGUUACUCAAUGAACCGUGGGAAUUCAAUAGGCUAAAGAAUUUCCCCCACAAUGUCACUAGUAGGGCAUGUGGUUCGUGGUCAAUUGCUUUUAUGGAGGCUUUGCUUACCGGCACAACUGUGACAAAAUCUGAAAGUCUAAUCAGCGACAACUCUGUGGGAAGGAUGUAAUGGAGAUGGGCAUUAGGUGUCAUUGAAAAGGUGUUGGAGCCCUAAGAUGGGCUGAUAAACAAUUUAUUAAUUUUAUAUUUUUUGGAGCCCAAAUGUGGCCUGUUGAACAAUUUAAGUAUAUAUUAGGUGUUUUUUGAUGACAUUAUGUAAUUUAAGUAUAUAUUAGGUGUUCAGUACCUUUCUAAGACAUUUUGUUAAGUAUAUAUUAGAUGUUCAGUA
This is a long non-coding RNA of Lycium ferocissimum, 470 nucleotides long. RefSeq lists it as uncharacterized. The transcript has 2 exons. Lineage: Eukaryota; Viridiplantae; Streptophyta; Magnoliopsida; Solanales; Solanaceae. The record is from RefSeq and is a predicted model, not a curated record.